RNAcentral lists this long non-coding RNA (458 nucleotides) under Setaria viridis. Its description in RNAcentral is "long non-coding RNA (SVIR_LNC004396)". The record is from RNAcentral. Lineage: Eukaryota; Viridiplantae; Streptophyta; Magnoliopsida; Poales; Poaceae.
UAAAUUCAAAGGGAGACUUUUUUACUAUGGAAAAAGUUUGGAUCAACUUCAAAACAAUGUUGGACUCGGAUGAUGACGUGUAUCAGUAUAUAUUCGGAAUACUCAUAAUAUUUGAAGUGUAUGUAAAUUGUAUAUAAAUAUAAUAUAGGUAACCUUUAGUAUCUACUAUACGCAAACGGAUACUGUACGUGAAUACUAGUACCAAUACGAAUAAAAAUAUGAAUUAAAAUGAAAGGAAAAAAAGAAAAGGAAUAACCAUUUAGUGAAUACAAAUACCAAUACGAAUUAAAAUGAAAGGAAAAAAAAGAAAAGAAACCAACCAACACUGCCGUCCGCAACAGCGGGACAUGGCUCGCUAUUUAGUACCGAUUGGUACUACCGACCAGUACUAAAUGACGCAUUUAGUACUGAGCAUUUUUGCCGAGUACUGAAUGGUGUGACAUUUAGUACCGAACAAG